GCCCCCUCGAGUCAUUUGACCUCAAAGUUGACAGGACAGAGAUGGGGAUCUAACUAUGUUGACUUUUAAAGCAAUUUAUAUGAAAUAGUUCUUAUACUAAUGGCAAGUCCGAUCUGCUUAGUAAUAAUAAUAAUAAAGAAAUGAAUCUUAACUGGUGCAUUUCCAACUAAAUAAAAGAAUUCGUUCCCUAAACCAUGAUUCGACCACUCUAACCCAACCUUCCUAAGAUAAAACACAUAUUUUUCAAACAAGUCCCAUUGCCAAAGUAAAGACUUAGAAGUGUAUUAAGUGUAGCCACAUCUUGGGGCUACCACUUCCAACCACACAUUAAAUUAAUAAAAAUAAAAAUAACUCCCA
RNAcentral lists this long non-coding RNA (357 nucleotides) under Elaeis guineensis (African oil palm). RNAcentral's name for it is "long non-coding RNA (EGUI_LNC020969)". Lineage: Eukaryota; Viridiplantae; Streptophyta; Magnoliopsida; Arecales; Arecaceae. The record is from RNAcentral.